This 23-nucleotide microRNA is filed under the name Ananas comosus (pineapple). RNAcentral describes it as "microRNA s0793_c109a". Lineage: Eukaryota; Viridiplantae; Streptophyta; Magnoliopsida; Poales; Bromeliaceae. The record is from RNAcentral.
CCUAUACAUUACAAAUUAAACUA